ACGUAACAUGGAAGCGACAAAUAGUCCACAGAAAGUGACAUCGGCGAUACAGUGCAGAAAAGUUAACGAUAUACAUACGUUUUGCCUUUCUUUUGUUAGAAAAAAAGGAGAGGCACGGCCUCGUCUUAGUCGUCUCCCAUGAUUAUCCGCUGCAGACAUCUACUUCAAAAAACCCUUCAACUUGGUGAUAAUUUCAUCUUGUGAGGAGGAUGAGUUUUCAAUUUCACCGAGAGUUUCCAAAACACGACCACCACUUGCACUGUUGAUCUUGUUCAAAAUAGCAAGUUUCUCGCUGGUGCUACCAGGAAACAUAUCGCUGAUUUUCUUCAUGGUCUGAGCCUGUUUCACUUGCUUUUCUGCACCCAAAGCAGAGCUCAAAAAGUCAUUAGACUUUUCGCCUCCCUCCUUGUUGCUACCACCACUCAAGUUGUUCAUAAAGUUCUGCAUAACGGAAGUUGGAAUUAAGGGCAGAUAGAUUCAAAGUUUAGUAAGUUAUCAGUCUUGCAACGUUGUAGAAGAUGAUAUCCUGAGCUAGACACCCAUAUAUAUAUAUAUAUGUGUAUCUACAAUACUCUUGUUACUCCCCAAACACCAAUUCGUCAAAAGUAGCCGAUGAUUUCAGUAUGAAGUGAUUUAUGGGUAACCCAUCUC
Molecule: non-coding RNA, 651 nt
Organism: Schizosaccharomyces pombe (fission yeast)
Lineage: Eukaryota; Fungi; Ascomycota; Schizosaccharomycetes; Schizosaccharomycetales; Schizosaccharomycetaceae
Source: the annotation of a GenBank genome assembly